GCGGGGGUGGCGGAAUGGCAGACGCACUGGACUCAAAAUCCAGCGGCCGCAAGGCCAUGAGAGUUCGACUCUCUCCCUCCGCA
RNAcentral lists this transfer RNA (83 nucleotides) under Candidatus Omnitrophota bacterium. RNAcentral's name for it is "Candidatus Omnitrophica bacterium tRNA-Leu". It matches the Rfam family "tRNA". From Rfam's summary of the family: Transfer RNA (tRNA) molecules are approximately 80 nucleotides in length. Their secondary structure includes four short double-helical elements and three loops (D, anti-codon, and T loops). The record is from RNAcentral. Lineage: Bacteria; Pseudomonadati; Candidatus Omnitrophota.